Alligator mississippiensis (American alligator) is the source of this 167-nucleotide long non-coding RNA. RefSeq lists it as uncharacterized. The record is from RefSeq and is a predicted model, not a curated record. The transcript is spliced from 3 exons. Lineage: Eukaryota; Metazoa; Chordata; Crocodylia; Alligatoridae.
GCCAGCCCCAGCGCUUCAUGGUCAUGGGCUUGCAAAGCAGCAGGCAGCGGGAGUCCGGACCCGUUUGGCAAAGGAGGCUUGGAAGUGUCAUUUUUUAAGAAUGGGGAAUAGCCCACCUACUUCCAUGUGACUGUCUAAUGAUGCUACUUUGAACCAGAUCCAGGUAA